UGGGAACGUACCCUUCGGCGGGGGAUAGCCGGCCCAACGGCCGGGGUAAUACCGCGUACGACCACUUGGGGGACAUCCCCGGGUGGUGAAAGCAGCAAUGCGCCGAUGGAGUGCCUCGCGGCCUAUCAGCUAGUUGGUGAGGUAACGGCUCACCAAGGCGACGACGGGUAGCUGGUCUGAGAGGAUGGCCAGCCACAUUGGGACUGAGACACGGCCCAGACCUCCUACGGGAGGCGAG
This 238-nucleotide ribosomal RNA is filed under the name uncultured bacterium. RNAcentral's name for it is "partial 16S ribosomal RNA". It matches the Rfam family "Bacterial small subunit ribosomal RNA", at positions 119 to 349 of the family's 1533-position model. The record is from RNAcentral.